UACGUAGGGUGCGAGCGUUUGUCCGGAAUUAUUGGGCGUAAAGGGCUCGUAGGCGGUUUGUCGCGUCGGGAGUGAAAUCCACUGGCUUAACUGGCGGCUUGCUUUCGAUACGGGCAGACUGGAGGUAUGCAGGGGAGAACGGAAUUCCUGGUGUAGCGGUGAAAUUCGUAGAUAUCGGGAGGAACACCGGUGGCGAAGGCGGCGAUCUGGGGUCGAUACUGACGCUGAGGUGCGAAAGCGUGGGGAGCAAACAGG
This 255-nucleotide ribosomal RNA is filed under the name uncultured bacterium. RNAcentral's name for it is "partial 16S ribosomal RNA". It matches the Rfam family "Bacterial small subunit ribosomal RNA", at positions 524 to 776 of the family's 1533-position model. The record is from RNAcentral.